Long non-coding RNA from Megalobrama amblycephala (Wuchang bream), 582 nucleotides. RefSeq lists it as uncharacterized. The record is from RefSeq and is a predicted model, not a curated record. NCBI's taxonomy places the organism in Eukaryota, Metazoa, Chordata, Actinopteri, Cypriniformes, Xenocyprididae. The transcript is spliced from 5 exons.
UCCAGCACCAGAUGAAUUUGAAGUGAGAGAUGAUGGAAACAUCAGGCUGACACAACCUCUGAACUACGACAGUGCUCAACAAUACAUCUUCACCGUGCAAGCUAAAGAUAAAGAUGAAUUCAGUGACACCACAACAGUUACAAUAACAGUUGAAGAUUUCGACAAUCUAAACCCUUAUUUUGAUCACAGUCUCUAUAAGGCAUCCAUUGUGGAAAAUCAGGUAGGACAGUUUUCAGACAUCACUCCUGAGGCCAUAAAAGCUCAAGAUGGCGACACGGGCAUCAACGAGCCUGUAGUUUACAGCAUAACAGCAGUCUUUCCAAAUGAAUAUCAGAGCAACUUUGUAAUCGAUGAAAACAGUGGAGUAAUCUCUGUGACAACAGCACUAGACAGAGAGGAAAUAGACCAGAUAAAUGUUAACAUACAGGCAACUCAGCAGGAUGAUGCCAGUAAGACGGCUAACGCUGUUGUGUCCGUCACCAUUGAGGAUGUGGAUGACAGCCCUCCGAAAUUUGACCAGGAUGAGUACACCGUAUCUAUUCUGGAAAAUUCACCUCAGGAUCAGUUGGUUCUUCAGACUAG